GACGAACGCUGGCGGCGUGCUUUACACAUGCAAGUCGAACGAAGUGGCGAACGGGUGAGUAACGCGUAAUCAACCUGCCCUUCAGAGGGGGACAACAGUUGGAAACGACUGCUAAUACCGCAUACUGAAGGCGGGGAUUGCGUCUGCUGAGCUCGUUGGAGGGGUAACGGCCCACCAAGGCGAUGAUCAGUAGCCGGUCUGAGAGGAUGAACGGCCACAUUGGGACUGGGACACGGCCCAGACUCCUACGGGAGGCAGCAUGGGGGAAGCUUCCGCAAUGGACGAAAGUCUGACGGAGCAACGCCGCGUGAGUGAUGACGGCCUUCGGGUUGUAAAGAUCUGUUAAUCGGGACACGGUACCGGAAUAGAAAGCCACGGCUAACGACGUGCCAGCCGCCGCGGUAAUUC
RNAcentral lists this ribosomal RNA (408 nucleotides) under uncultured bacterium. Its description in RNAcentral is "partial 16S ribosomal RNA". It matches the Rfam family "Bacterial small subunit ribosomal RNA", at positions 28 to 526 of the family's 1533-position model. The record is from RNAcentral.